UACGAAGGGGGCUAGCGUUGCUCGGAAUUACUGGGCGUAAAGCGUGCGUAGACGGUUAUUUAAGUCGGGUGUGAAAGCCCCGGGCUCAACCUGGGCAUUGCAUUCGAGACUGAAUAGCUAGGGUACGGUAGAGGGAAGCGGAAUUUCCGGUGUAGCGGUGAAAUGCGUAGAUAUCGGAAGGAACAUCAGUGGCGAAAGCGGCUUCCUGGACCAGUACCGACGUUCAGGCACGAAAGCGUGGGGAGCAAACAGG
RNAcentral lists this ribosomal RNA (253 nucleotides) under uncultured bacterium. RNAcentral describes it as "partial 16S ribosomal RNA". It matches the Rfam family "Bacterial small subunit ribosomal RNA", at positions 524 to 776 of the family's 1533-position model. The record is from RNAcentral.